AUCACCUGGGAGCUUGUUAAAAUGCAGAUUCCCGUUCAGUGAGGCUGGGUGGACUCCAGAUUCUGCAUUUUUAACAAGCUCCCAGGAGAAGCCAG
This 95-nucleotide microRNA precursor is filed under the name Pteropus alecto (black flying fox). RNAcentral describes it as "mir-544 microRNA precursor family". It matches the Rfam family "mir-544 microRNA precursor family". Lineage: Eukaryota; Metazoa; Chordata; Mammalia; Chiroptera; Pteropodidae. The record is from Rfam by way of RNAcentral.